RNAcentral lists this transfer RNA (87 nucleotides) under Stegodyphus mimosarum. Its description in RNAcentral is "tRNA-Tyr for anticodon GUA". It matches the Rfam family "tRNA". From Rfam's summary of the family: Transfer RNA (tRNA) molecules are approximately 80 nucleotides in length. Lineage: Eukaryota; Metazoa; Arthropoda; Arachnida; Araneae; Eresidae. The record is from Rfam by way of RNAcentral.
CCGUCGAUAGCUCAGUUGGCAGAGCGGUGGACUGUAGGUGGUAAUGCAGUGAUCCGUAGGUCGCUGGUUCGACUCCGGCUCGACGGA